Molecule: ribosomal RNA, 752 nt
Filed under: uncultured Pseudomonadota bacterium
Lineage: Bacteria; Pseudomonadati; Pseudomonadota
Description: bacterial SSU rRNA
Rfam family: Bacterial small subunit ribosomal RNA
Source: RNAcentral
CCCCUUCGGGGGGUACACGAGUGGCGCACGGGUGAGUAACACGUGGGUAAUCUACCUUCAGGUCUGGGACAACUCCGGGAAACUGGAGCUAAUACCGGAUGAGACCACGAGGUCCUCGGACUUCGCGGGAAAAGAUGGCCUCUCCUUGGAAGCUAUCGCCUGUAGAUGAGCCCGCGCCCCAUUAGCUAGUUGGUGAGGUAACGGCUCACCAAGGCGACGAUGGGUAGCUGGUCUGAGAGGACGACCAGCCACACUGGAACUGAGACACGGUCCAGACUCCUACGGGAGGCAGCAGUCGGGAAUUUUGGGCAAUGGGCGAAAGCCUGACCCAGCAACGCCGCGUGAGGGAUGAAGGCCUUCGGGUCGUAAACCUCUGUCGGGAGGGAAGAACGAUCGCAAGGUGAAUAAUCUUGGGGUCUGACGGUACCUCCAAAGGAAGCGCCGGCUAACUCCGUGCCAGCAGCCGCGGUAAUACGGAGGGCGCAAGCGUUGUUCGGAAUCAUUGGGCGUAAAGCGCGUGUAGGCGGCUUGGCAAGUCGGGUGUGAAAUCCCGGGGCUCAACCCCGGAACUGCAUUCGAUACUGCCUCGCUAGAGUCCCGGAGAGGAGGGCGGAAUUCCCGGUGUAGAGGUGAAAUUCGUAGAUAUCGGGAGGAACACCAGUGGCGAAGGCGGCCCUCUGGACGGUGACUGACGCUGAGAUGCGAAAGCGUGGGGAGCAAACAGGAUUAGAUACCCUGGUAGUCCACGCUGU